Molecule: long non-coding RNA, 433 nt
Organism: Toxorhynchites rutilus septentrionalis
Lineage: Eukaryota; Metazoa; Arthropoda; Insecta; Diptera; Culicidae
Exons: 3
Source: RefSeq, a predicted model, not a curated record
UCUUGUUUUAACCUGGGGUCGGGAGGUGAAAGGUAAUCGCCCGAGAAUGUUUGAAUAUGAGAUAGAUGUAGGUGCAAGGGAAAUUGUCAUGACUAGUAGUUCCGGUCUUAUUGAUCAAUGCGAUGAUCUGAGGACUAAAAAUUCGUUCGUCUAUUUCAACGUGGACCGUGGAAGAGGCAGGAGUGGUGUUAGUUAUUUUGAACCGCGAGAAAAAUUCGAAAAGCUCUGCUAGUUAUGAGAAUUUGGUGGAUCGGAAGUUUACUCUUCCACGCAUCCGCUCAAUAAAUUUGGAGGAAGUGCCGCUUCUGAAUCCACGGAGACAUCGUUGGAAUUGGUCUAUAAUCCAAUCAAGUUCAUCUCUUUUUUGUGGUUGAGUAGGACACAAGUACCCAUUGUUGUUUACCAUUCACUUCUAGCAUGUAGCAUGUUAAAU